Molecule: non-coding RNA, 108 nt
Organism: Pelobates cultripes (western spadefoot toad)
Lineage: Eukaryota; Metazoa; Chordata; Amphibia; Anura; Pelobatidae
Source: the annotation of a GenBank genome assembly
UAACAGACAUACACUGCAGACACACACACAUUCACUGACAGACACACUCACUAUUAGUGAGUGUGUCUGUCAGUGAAUGUGUGUGUGUCUGCAGUGUAUGUCUGAGUG